RNAcentral lists this ribosomal RNA (474 nucleotides) under Triticum aestivum (bread wheat). Its description in RNAcentral is "partial small subunit ribosomal RNA". The record is from RNAcentral. Lineage: Eukaryota; Viridiplantae; Streptophyta; Magnoliopsida; Poales; Poaceae.
AUGAGAUGCCUAAGUGGGAACUGCCGGGGGCUUGGGAACUCCGAGGCAGUUCGAGAGCUUCGCAACUUGGUGAAGCAAGAAGGGCCUGCGCUGCUCUUUGUUAUGGAGACGAAGAGCAGAGCAAAGAGGGUGGAGAGUUUGCAGACUAAUCUGGGGUUUUUGGGGUGCUUUGCAGUGGACAGUUCAGGACUAAGUGGUGGUAUAGACCUAUUUUGGUCUAAAGAGGUUAAUGUUGAGUUGAAAAGUUUCAGUCCCAGCCAUAUUGAUGUUAUGGUUAGGGAAGCUGACUUGCUUGCUCGUGAGUGGAGAUUGACAGGGUUCUAUGGUGAACCGAGAAGUGAAGAUAGGCACCAUAGCUGGAGAUGUUUGAGGGCAUUGCAUGCGAUCCCACAUCAAGCAUGGUUGUGCCUAGGAGAUUUUAAUGAGACCUUGUACAGUACAGAACAUUUCAGUAGGGCUGCAAGACCGGAAUGA